This 2746-nucleotide long non-coding RNA is filed under the name Olea europaea subsp. europaea. Lineage: Eukaryota; Viridiplantae; Streptophyta; Magnoliopsida; Lamiales; Oleaceae. The record is from RNAcentral.
CCAAUUGUUCAAUAUGGUAUCAGAGCACUUUGUGCUUCCAUUACCUGCUGCUUUAUGAUUCAUUUGAAUCUUCAUUUUUUUUCAUCAAAUCAUUCCGAAUUUGCUAUGGCAUCAAUAGCAAAUACAUCAUAUCAGAAUAAUUUAUCAUCAUCAGUGAGCAAUUCCACAUUGAUGAUGGAUCUAAUCCCUGCUACAUCUACCAUACAAAUAACCUGGGGCUUGUGCUUAUAUCAUAGCCUCUUACAAGUGACAAUUAUGCAUCAUGGAGUAGAUCUAUGAUAAUUGCAUUCUCUAUGAAGAAUAAACUCAGUUUUAUUGAUGGAUCAUUGUCUAGGUCGAAGGAUACUGAUGAUCAACUUAACAAUUGGAUCCAUAACAACAAUAUAGUCAUAUCGUGGAUUCUCAAUUCGGUGUCUAAAGAAAUCUCGGCAAGUGUUAUCUACUCUGAACAGGCACAUGACCUAUGGAUUGAUUUGAAGGAAAGGUUCCAGCAGAGGAAUGGACCUCGCAUAUUUCAGUUGAGGUGCGAAUUGAUGAGCCUCAUUCAAGGUCAGUUAUAAGUCAAUGUCUAUUUCACCAAAUUGCAAACAAUUUGGGAAGAGCUCAGUAACUAUAGACCAAUAUGAUCGUGUGGAAAGUGUGUUUGUGGUGGAUCUAAAAAGCUUUCAGAGCAUUACAAAAUGGAGUAUGUUAUGUCAUUCUUGAUGGUGUCAAAUGAUUCAUUUGCUCAAGUUCGGGGACAAUUGUUGCUUGUGGAUCCUAUACCCCCAUCAACGAAGUAUUCUCUCUUGUCUUGCAAGAAGAACAUCAAAGGAAUAUAAACAUCAAUGCCACUGGAGAUUCAAUGGCUUUCUAUGCUAAACCUAAUUCAAAGAAGGCUAACUCAGGAUAGACACAAUACAAAUUUCAGUAUGGAGAAAGGCCUAUGUGUACUUACUGUGGAUUGGCAGGCCAUUCAGUGGAUAAAUGUUACAAAUUACAUGGAUAUCCUCCGGGUUAUAAGAUGUAGCAAAGACCUGUUUCCACUGACCAAUUGAGCAUUACAAGCAAUCAGUCAAGGCGUAUGGCUGCGAAUCAGGUUACUUCUAAGCCUCAUUGAUACAUAUCACAAAACAUUGCAGAUGAUUUCAUGCAAUUUUUGAAUCCUACUCAAUACCAACAGCUAUUGAGCAUACUAAACAAUCAUCUAUCUUUUGCCAAAGUUAACACUGGAUCUGAUGAACACCAAGUGUCAGGUACUUGCUUUUCUAUAUCUCAUAAUCUGUGGCUUAACACGCCUAAUAAUUGGGUAGUAGAUUCUGGUGCAACCAGCCACAUUUGCUUUAAUCAAUUGGCUUUCCACUCUAUGAAAUCGGUUAAGAAUGCUUGGGUUACUUUUCCAAAUCAUAAUAGAGUAGUUGUGAAGUUCACUAGAACUGUAAAAUUUGACAAUACUCUGGCGUUAGAAGAUGUGCCAUAUGUGCCACAAUUUAGGUUCAAACUAAUGUCAGUUAGCUCAUUAACCAAAGAUCCCUAGAUUGAUGUUAGAUUCUUCACUAACAUGUGUUAUUCAGGGUAUACUCAGCCAGAAGAGAUUGGCAAGGGUAGAAGAAUUGCUGGAUUAUACAUAAUCAGUGAUAAUUCAUCUGAUUCAACAAGUGUUAACACAAGAAAAACUUUGCUUGGUAAUGUUUGUAAUUCCAUUUCCUUAUCUGUAAAUAAAGUAAAUGCUCAUGCUUGGUGUUAUACUUAUUUCAUAUUGGGCCUCAUUGGACUUGGCCCAUUUCUUUAACCCACCAGGCCCGUCUCCAUUUAUUUCUCUAUAUAUACGGGACUCAUUUCAUAAUUAAGGUAAGUUCUCUAACCCGAACCAAACCCACUCUCCCGCCUCUUGCACUCUUUAUUUUCUUUUCAUCUGGUAGUUGACUUGACUGUCGGAGUGCAAAAGGUCGUCCGAUAUUUUUCUCGACCGACGACCUUUCCCUCCUAACGGGAUGUUCCGUGUGCAGGUGUGGAGAGGACGAGGUCAGGAUUCUGUUGGCACAAUUUUUUAGGUCAACACUUGGCAUCACAGAUUAGCGUAUCAGAAGCUAUUCUUGUUAAAAGACCAAUUGAAUUUAAGUUGUGACAAGUACAAUAACUCCAGUUCAGAUCCUUUUAACGUUUGUCUAUUGGCAAAACGGAGAAGGCUUUCUUUUGUUUGAAAUAAUCACUUAUCUGCCAAAGCUUUUGAUCUGAUAUACUGUGACACCUGGGGGCCUUAUCACAUUACAUCACAUUCUGGCCACAAGUAUUUUCUUACUUUGGUAAAUAAUUACACACGUUUCACACGAGUAUACCUUAUAAAACACAAAUCUGAUGUUAGCAGCAUCAUUCCUAAGUUCUUUAAGAUGAUUGAGACUUAAUUUCAAACAUCUAUAAUUUAGGCUAGAUAAUGCACCAGAGUUGAAGUUCACAGAUUUCUUUCAUUCUAAAGGAGUCAUUCACCAAUUAUCUUGUGUUGAAUGGCCUGAAUAGAACUCGAUGGUUGAGAGAAAACAUCAACAUUUGUUGAAUGUUGCUAAGGCUUUGUAUUUUCAAUCACAAGUUUCCAUUCAAUUUUGAAGUGAAUGCAUAUUGACUGCAACUUUCCUUAUCAAUAGAAUUCCAUCUUCCAUUUUACAAAGCAAAACUCCCUUUUCACUCAUGUAUAACUCUCCUGUAGAUUACAAUCAAUUUAAGGUGUUUGGUAGCCUAUGCUUCGCAUCCACCUUGCCUUCUAAAAAAU